This 687-nucleotide long non-coding RNA is filed under the name Zonotrichia albicollis (white-throated sparrow). Its description in RNAcentral is "lncRNA (ENSZALG00000001160.1)". The record is from RNAcentral. Lineage: Eukaryota; Metazoa; Chordata; Aves; Passeriformes; Passerellidae.
AUUACAUUAAAACUAUACUAAAAGAAUAGAAGAGAGGAUUUCAUCAGAAGGUUAGCUAAGAAUAGAAAAGCAAAGAAUGAUAACAAAGGUUUGUGGCUUGGGCUCUCUGUUUGAGCCAGCUGACUGUGAUUGACCAUUAAUUACAAACAACCGCACGAGACCAAUCACAGAUGCACCUGUUGCAUUCCCCAGCAGCAGAUAAUCAUUGUUUACAUUUUGUUCCUGAGGCUUUUCAGCUUCUCAGGAGGAAAAAUCUUAAGGAAAGGAUUUUGCAUGGAAUAUGUCUGUGACACCCAUCUCCCACCUGCACCUCCAAUGCUCAACCAGCUCCAGAAAUCAUCUCUCAGAGGAGCCCAGCAGCUGGACAAGGGAGGAUAGUGCUGAAGCUCCUUGGGAAGAUGUCCUUUUCAAAUGACUGACUGAGGAGCUCCCACUGUUUAUCCCCACCAAAUGAUUCUGGCUUUUUGAAGACGACUGAACACAUUUCUGGGCCUUUCAGCUGAGAUCCUUUCAAGUGAGAACAAAAGGCUGCUUGUAAAGUGUAUCAGUGCAAUUGUGGCUCCCAUGGUCAUUGCAGGUGUGAUGUUGUACUGGGAGCAAGAGUGACUUCAAAGCAAGACCAUUGAAUGGCAUCGUUUGCUCCAUAAUUUUGAAAUGGAUGGCUUUGGGGAGUAUGUCAGCUGGAAG